This 943-nucleotide ribosomal RNA is filed under the name human gut metagenome. Its description in RNAcentral is "bacterial LSU rRNA". It matches the Rfam family "Bacterial large subunit ribosomal RNA", at positions 1681 to 2641 of the family's 2925-position model. The record is from RNAcentral.
CUAAGGCCAACGGGAGAAGGGUUGUUAAGGAACUCGGCAAAUUGACCCCGUAACUUCGGGAGAAGGGGUGCUCCAGAGAUGGAGCCGCAGAGAAUCGGCCCAAGCAACUGUUUACCAAAAACACAGGUUUGUGCUAAAUCGAAAGAUGACGUAUACGAGCUGACGCCUGCCCGGUGCUGGAAGGUUAAGAGGAGAUGUGCAAGCAUUGAAUCGAAGCCCCAGUGAACGGCGGCCGUAACUAUAACGGUCCUAAGGUAGCGAAAUUCCUUGUCAGGUAAGUUCUGACCCGCAUGAAAGGCGUAAUGAUUUGGGCACUGUCUCAACAGCCCGCCCGGCGAAAUUGUAGUACCGGUGAAGAUGCCGGUUACCCGCGACAAGACGGAAAGACCCCAUGGAGCUUUACUGUAGCCUAAUAUUGGGUUUCGAUGUUGCAUGCACAGGAUAGAUGGGACACUGGGAAGCAGGUGCUUUGGCGUUUGUGGAGUGGCCGUUGGGAUACCAUCCUUGCGAUAUUGGAAUUCUAACCUGCGCCUUUGAAUCAAGGCGGGGGACAUUGUUAGGUGGGCAGUUUGACUGGGGCGGUCGCCUCCUAAAGAGUAACGGAGGCGUUCAAAGGUUCGCUCAGCUUGAACGGAAAUCAAGCAAAAGAGUGCAAACGCAGAAGCGAGCCUAACUGCGAGACUGACGGGUCGAGCAGUAACGAAAGUUGGAGUUAGUGAUCCGGUGGUAUGUGAGUGGAAAUGCCAUCGCUCAACGGAUAAAAGUUACCCUGGGGAUAACAGGCUGAUCUCCCCCAAGAGUCCACAUCGACGGGGAGGUUUGGCACCUCGAUGUCGGCUCAUCGCAUCCUGGGGCUGUAUUCGGUCCCAAGGGUUUGGCUGUUCGCCAAUUAAAGCGGUACGCGAGCUGGGUUCAGAACGUCGUGAGACAGUUCGGUCCCUAU